AUUGAACGCUGGCGGCAGGCCUAACACAUGCAAGUCGAACGAGUGGCGGACGGGUGAGUAAGGUCUGGGAAACUGCCUGAUGGAGGGGGAUAACUACUGGAAACGGUAGCUAAUACCGCAUACCAUCGGAUGUGCCCAGAUGGGUUGAGCUAGUAGGUGGGGUAACGGCUCACCUAGGCGACGAUCCCUAGCUGGUCUGCGAGGAUGACCAGCCACACUGGAACUUAGACAUGGUCCAGACUCCUACGGGAGGCAGCAGUGGGGAAUAUUUGACAAUGGGCGCAAGCCUGAUGCAGCCAUGCCGCGUGUAUGAAGAAGGCCUUCGGGUUGUAAAGUACUGUCAUCGGGGAGGCGUUACCCGCAGAAGAAGCACCGGCUAACUCCGUGCCAGCAGCCGCGGUAAUAC
RNAcentral lists this ribosomal RNA (406 nucleotides) under uncultured bacterium. Its description in RNAcentral is "partial 16S ribosomal RNA". It matches the Rfam family "Bacterial small subunit ribosomal RNA", at positions 30 to 526 of the family's 1533-position model. The record is from RNAcentral.